RNAcentral lists this ribosomal RNA (447 nucleotides) under uncultured bacterium. RNAcentral describes it as "bacterial SSU rRNA". It matches the Rfam family "Bacterial small subunit ribosomal RNA", at positions 355 to 825 of the family's 1533-position model. The record is from RNAcentral.
UCGGGAAUUUUGGGCAAUGGGCGAAAGCCUGACCCAGCAACGCCGCGUGAAGGAUGAAGUAUUUCGGUAUGUAAACUUCGAAAGAAUAGGAAGAAUAAAUGACGGUACUAUUUAUAAGGUCCGGCUAACUACGUGCCAGCAGCCGCGGUAAUACGUAGGGACCAAGCGUUGUUCGGAUUUACUGGGCGUAAAGGGCGCGUAGGCGGCUUGACAAGUCACUUGUGAAAUCUCUGGGCUUAACCCAGAACGGCCAAGUGAAACUGUCAUGCUAGAGUGCAGAAGGGGCAAUCGGAAUUCUUGGUGUAGCGGUGAAAUGCGUAGAUAUCAAGAGGAACACCUGAGGUGAAGACGGGUUGCUGGGCUGACACUGACGCUGAGGCGCGAAAGCGUGGGGAGCAAACAGGAUUAGAUACCCCAGUAGUCCCUGAGCGGGCUGGCAAGGCGCAU